Molecule: ribosomal RNA, 660 nt
Filed under: uncultured bacterium
Lineage: Bacteria
Description: bacterial SSU rRNA
Rfam family: Bacterial small subunit ribosomal RNA
Source: RNAcentral
GCAGUCGAACGAAGCAAUUUAGCGGAAGUUUUCGGAUGGAAGUUAGAUUGACUGAGUGGCGGACGGGUGAGUAACGCGUGGGUAACCUGCCUCACACUGGGGGACAACAGUUAGAAAUGACUGAUAAUACCGCAUAAGCGCACAGGACCGCAUGGUCCGGUGUGAAAAACUCCGGUGGUGUGAGAUGGACCCGCGUUUGAUUAGCUAGUUGGUGGGGUAACGGCCUACCAAGGCGACGGUCAAUAGCCGACCUGAGAGGGUGACCGGCCACAUUGGGACUGAGACACGGCCCAAACUCCUACGGGAGGCAGCAGUGGGGAAUAUUGCACAAUGGGGGAAACCCUGAUGCAGCGACGCCGCGUGAGUGAAGAAGUAUUUCGGUAUGUAAAGCUCUAUCAGCAGGGAAGAAAAUGACGGUACCUGACUAAGAAGCCCCGGCUAACUACGUGCCAGCAGCCGCGGUAAUACGUAGGGGGCAAGCGUUAUCCGGAUUUACUGGGUGUAAAGGGAGCGUAGACGGUAAAGCAAGUCUGAAGUGAAAGCCCGGGGCUCAACCCCGGGACUGCUUUGGAAACUGUUUAACUAGAGUGCUGGAGAGGUAAGCGGAAUUCCUAGUGUAGCGGUGAAAUGCGUAGAUAUUAGGAGGAACACCAGUGGCGA